CUAGAGAGGAGGAUGAGGAAAGGAGACUCCACAUCAUGGAGAGGAGGGGGAGGAUAGGAGACUAACACAUCAUGAAGAGGAGGAGGAGGAGGAGAGACCACAUCAUGGAGAGAAGGAGGAGGAGACCACGCAUCAUAGAGAAGAGGAAGAGAGGAGACACCAGAUCAUAAAGAGGAGGAAGAGAAGGAGAGAGACCCCACAUCACGAAGAGGAGAGGAGGAGACCCCACAUCAUGAAGAGUAGGAGAGGAGACCCCAGAUGUUGUUGAGGAGGAUGAGGAAAGGAGACCCCACAUCAUAGAGAGAAGGAGGAGGAGGAGUUUAGACCCCACAUCAUGGAGAGGAGGAGGAGAGGAGAGGAGACACCACAUUAUAGAGAGAAGGAGGAGGAGAGGAGACCCCACAUCAUGAAGAGGAGGAGGAGGAGGAGUUUAGACCCCACAUCAUGGAGAGGAGGAGGAGAGGAGACACCACAUCAUUGAGAGGAGGAGGAGGAAAGGAGACCCCACAUCUUGGAGAUGAGGAGAGGAGACCCCACAUCAUGAAGAGGAGGAGGAGGAGGAGUUUAGACCCCACAUCAUGGAGAGGAGGAGGAGAGGAGACACCACAUCAUUGAGAGGAGGAGGAGGAAAGGAGACCCCACAUCUUGGAGUGGGGGGGAGGAGACCCCACAUCAUGAAAAGGAGGAGGAGGAGGAGACACCACAUCAUAGAGAGGAGAAGGAGGAGAGGAGAUCCCACAUCAUUGAGAGGAGAAGGAGGAGAGGAGAUCCCACAUCAUGGAGAGGUGGAGGAGGAGAGGAGACCCCACAUCAUGGAGAGGUGGAGGAGGAGAGGAGACCCCACAUCAUGGAGAGGUGGAGGAGGAGAGGAGACCCCACAUCAUGGAGAGGAGGAGGAAAGGAGACCGCACAUCAUGGAGAGGGGGAGAGGGGACCCCACGUUAUGGAGAGGAGGAGGAGGAGAGGAGACCCCACAUCAUAGAGAGAAGGAGGAGAGGAGACCGCACAUCAUGGAGAGGGGAGGGGAGACCCCACAUCAUGGAGAGGAGGAGGAGGAGGAGAGGAGACCCCACAUCAUGGAGAGGUGGAGGAGGAGAGGAG
This 1101-nucleotide long non-coding RNA is filed under the name Salmo salar (Atlantic salmon). RNAcentral describes it as "lncRNA (ENSSSAG00000103875.1)". The record is from RNAcentral. Lineage: Eukaryota; Metazoa; Chordata; Actinopteri; Salmoniformes; Salmonidae.